AUUGAACGCUGGCGGCAGGCCUAACACAUGCAAGUCGAGCGGAUGAAGGGAGCUUGCUCCUGGAUUCAGCGGCGGACGGGUGAGUAAUGCCUAGGAAUCUGCCUGGUAGUGGGGGAUAACGUCCGGAAACGGGCGCUAAUACCGCAUACGUCCUGAGGGCGAAAGGGGGGGAUCUUCGGACCUCACGCUAUCAGAUGAGCCUAGGUCGGAUUAGCUAGUUGGUGGGGUAAAGGCCUACCAAGGCGACGAUCCGUAACUGGUCUGAGAGGAUGAUCAGUCACACUGGAACUGAGACACGGUCCAGACUCCUACGGGAGGCAGCAGUGGGGAAUAUUGGACAAUGGGCGAAAGCCUGAUCCAGCCAUGCCGCGUGUGUGAAGAAGGUCUUCGGAUUGUAAAGCACUUUAAGUUGGAAGGAAGGGCAGUAAGUUAAUACCUUGCUGUUUUGACGUUACCAACAGAAUAAGCACCGGCUAACUUCGUG
RNAcentral lists this ribosomal RNA (484 nucleotides) under uncultured bacterium. RNAcentral's name for it is "partial 16S ribosomal RNA". It matches the Rfam family "Bacterial small subunit ribosomal RNA", at positions 30 to 507 of the family's 1533-position model. The record is from RNAcentral.